UUUUUACUCCUUCCGUCCGGAAAUACUUAUUGGAGAAAUGUAUGUAUCUAGACAUAUUUUAGUUUUAGAUACAUCUAUUUUUAUCCAUUUCCGCGACAAGUAAUUCCGAACAGAGAAAGUAUAAU
Non-coding RNA from Triticum aestivum (bread wheat), 125 nucleotides. Lineage: Eukaryota; Viridiplantae; Streptophyta; Magnoliopsida; Poales; Poaceae. The record is from Rfam.